CUGCUGCCUUCCGUAGGAGUCUGGGCCGUGUCUCAGUCCCAAUGUGGCCGUCCGCCCUCUCAGGCCGGCUACCGAUCGUCGCCUUGGUGGGCCGCUGCCCCGCCAACAAGCUAAUCGGACGCGGACCCAUCGCAUGCCGGGAUUGCUCCCUUUCCGCACUGCGCCAUGCGGCGCCGUGCGCAUAUGCGGUAUUAGCGGCUGUUUCCAGCCGGUAUCCCCCUGCAUGCGGCAGGUUGU
This 237-nucleotide ribosomal RNA is filed under the name uncultured bacterium. Its description in RNAcentral is "partial 16S ribosomal RNA". The record is from RNAcentral.